GUGGGGAAUCUUCCGCAAUGGACGAAAGUCUGACGGAGCGACGCCGCGUGAGUGAAGAAGGCCUUCGGGUCGUAAAGCUCUGUCAUCAGGGACGAACGGCCGGUGGAGUGGAAAGCCACCGGAUUGACGGUACCUGAGAAGGAAGCCACGGCUAACUACGUGCCAGCAGCCGCGGUAAUACGUAGGUGGCAAGCGUUGUCCGGAAUUAUUGGGCGUAAAGCGCGCGCAGGUGGGAUCUUAAGUCCAUUUUUAAAGUUCGGAGCUCAACUCCGUGAUGGGAUGGAAACUGGGAUUCUUGAGUACCGGAGAGGAAAGCGGAAUGCCCCGUGUAGCGGUGAAAUGCGUAGAUAUGGGGAGGAACACCAGUGGCGAAGGCGGCUUUCUGGACGGUGUCUGACACUGAGGCGCGAAAGCCAGGGGAGCGAACGGGAUUAGAAACCCGUGUAGUCC
This 450-nucleotide ribosomal RNA is filed under the name uncultured bacterium. RNAcentral's name for it is "partial 16S ribosomal RNA". It matches the Rfam family "Bacterial small subunit ribosomal RNA", at positions 354 to 796 of the family's 1533-position model. The record is from RNAcentral.